Molecule: non-coding RNA, 565 nt
Organism: Grammomys surdaster
Lineage: Eukaryota; Metazoa; Chordata; Mammalia; Rodentia; Muridae
Source: the annotation of a RefSeq genome assembly
UUUCAGGACCAGGACCACUUUGGGAGGCUUUUUUUGGUCUCUUUUUAGAGUUUUACCUAAAACAGGAAGGUAUCUAGUCAACCUUGUGCCAACGGUCUCCAAGAACUGGGAAGGGCAGCCACUUUCCUGCACGAGCCAAGCUUUUCCAGAAAGUCAUCAGAGCUGUUUCCUGUGCUCAGCCAUGCUUCCAGUCCUCAUCUCAUUCCUGGGGAUACAUUUUUUCCUGGGAGAUGUCCAAACACAGACAGUUUCUCAGUCUGAUGCCCAUGUCACUGUCUUCGAAGGAGACUCGGUGGAGCUGAGAUGCAACUAUUCCUAUGGUGGAACCCCUUACCUCUUCUGGUACAUCCAGCACCAUGGCCAUGGCCUCCAGUUACUCCUCAAGUACUAUUCAGGAGACUCAGUGGUUCAUGGCAUGAAUGGCUUUGAGGCUAAGUUCAGCAAGAGUGACUCUUCCUUCCACCUGCAGAAAGCCUCUGUGCACUGGAGCGACUCAGCUGUGUACUUCUGUGCCAUGAGCGCACAGUGUGUGGGGCUGCAGGGGGAGCUGAGCACAAACCUAUAA